ACGCUUGAAGUCAGUCGCAUUGGCUAGGAAUCAGUCUUGCUUUUGCUUGAUGUAUUUUCUGGUUGAUGGGUCAGCAUCAAUUUUGAUCGCUGGAUAAAGUCUUUGGGAAUGUGGCAUCUUUGGAUGUGUUAUAGCCCAUUGUUGCAUACAGUGAUUGGGAUUGAGGAACUCAGCACGCUGUAAUGGCCGGGUCUUUUUGACCACGUCCGUGCUUAGGAUGCUGGCAUAAUGGCUUUAAUCGACCCGUCUUGAAACACGGACCAAGGAGUC
Molecule: ribosomal RNA, 270 nt
Filed under: Inocybe sp. PBM3335
Lineage: Eukaryota; Fungi; Basidiomycota; Agaricomycetes; Agaricales; Inocybaceae
Description: partial large subunit ribosomal RNA
Rfam family: Eukaryotic large subunit ribosomal RNA
Source: RNAcentral